This is a non-coding RNA of Leptonychotes weddellii (Weddell seal), 2654 nucleotides long. The record is from RefSeq and is a predicted model, not a curated record. NCBI's taxonomy places the organism in Eukaryota, Metazoa, Chordata, Mammalia, Carnivora, Phocidae.
AGAGUCGGGCACUCAACUGACUGAGCCCAGGUGCCCCAAUAAUUAUUCUUUUCAGCAUCUCUGUUUCACAGCAGGGUGGUUUUCAGGUCAUCUCCCCAUUUUACAGAGGCAGAAACUGAGGCCUAGAGAGGUUAAAAGCCUUACCCCACACCACACAGCUAGUAAGUGGCAGAACCGGUGUUCAACCCCAGAGUCUGUUUUCUAACGAGCAAUGUGAAUGGUGGCUGGUGGACGAGGUCCCACGCCUGGUGUGCCGCAGAGUCUUAUCCAGACCCAGGGAUCCCAGCUCUCCUGCCUAGUCCCUGGAGUCCUCAAGUAACUUCCUGAUAAUCACGAAGCCCAGAAGAAAGGGAAGCUCAGUGUCCAUGUAAGACACCUCGCAAGCAAGAUGCUGUGAAUGUUUUCAGUCCAGACGAGGGGAGAGGGGGUAGCUGGGGACAGGACCCAGCAAAUGGAACGUGGGGGUGCUCUUAUUAAUUUCCUAUGGCUGCCAUAACAAAUCCUUGGUGUUCCUUGACCCGUAGCUGCAUAUAACGCCCCUCUCUGCCUCCGUCUUCACCUGGCCUGGCCCUCUGUAUGUCUCUGUGUGUUCUCCUCUGUCUAUCUAAUGUCCUUCUGCCUUGCUCUUACAAGGACACCUGUCAUUGGAUUUAGGGCCCACCCAGGUAAUCCGGGAUGAUCUCCUCUUCAGAUCCUUCAGUUAAUUGCAUUUACAAAGACCCCUUUUCCAGGUGUAUCACAUUCACCCGCUCCAGGGGUUAGGAUGCAGUCACCUCUCUUUUGGGAGGGGGCACUGUUCAACCCACUGAAGUGGAAAGCGGCCCGAUUCUUCUUGGGCUCUGAGCCUCGGGCCUGGGUGAGGGGGCGAGCUGCAGCGGGUUCUCGACGGUGCCUCUUUUAUUGUUUCAUAUUUUUCUCUUUUGUUUUGAGGUUUUCUGCCCUCUUUUCUGGAAGGUGCACGAUGCUCGGCUCUGUGGUUAUUUUCGCCUAACAGCUGUGUUUCCGUCAUGGAUAGGCAGGUUGCCUCUGGCUUCUUGCUGUGACAAACCUCAUCGCCACCGAUGUCCUCACGUCCUCACGCAUGAUCUCCUUAUCAUCCUAUGCAGGACUGUCUCUGGGAUACACAUCUGGGUUCCCAAGUACUCGCUGCUGGCUGCCGACUUGAUUUAUUCAGCAUGACAAGGAAAAUUAAAUUAAAGGAGCAUCCAACCCUCUCCCCGCCCACCACCCACAAGAGGAAGGACCCAGGGUCACUUCAUAGUGGGUUGAAUGGUGGCUGCCCAAAAAAGAUACGUUCACGUCCUGAUCCCUUGGAACCUGUGAAUAUGACGCUAUUUAGGAAAAGUGUCUUUGCAGAUGUAAUUAAGUUCAGGAUCUUGAAAUGAGAACAUCUUGGAAUAUCUGGGUGGGCCCUAAAUCCAAGACAAAAGCUCCCAUGAGACACACAGAGGAGAUACACACAGGGGAAGGCCAUGUGAAGACAGAGACAGGUUGGAAGGAUGCACCCACAAAUCCAGGGAUACUAACUGCCACCAGGAGCUGGAAGAGGCAAAGGACAAAGUCUCCCCUAGCGCUCUGGGGGGAGCACAGCCCUACCAACACCUUGACUUCAGACUUCUGGCCUCCAGAGAUGCAAGAGAAUAAAUCCCUGUUGUUUUAAGUCACCGAGUUUGUGGCAAUUUGUUUUGGCAGCCUCGGAACACUAGUAGACAUUUCUUCUUGCAUUAAUAGGGAAGGGGGACAAAUUUAAAAAAUAUAUUGGAGAAGCCAAUAGGAUUUAAGUAAGAAGUUGCCUUUAUUGAGCACUUACCACAUGCCAGGUACCUGCUCCAGUUAGAAAGUGACAAAAAUUUGAACCCAGCAAGAUGAGCCCCAGAGCUUGCGCUUUUAACCAGCUACCUUGUACUUCUAGGAAAGGGUAGAAGCUGCAUUUGGAAAGGGACAUGGGAAGGGAAGGAGAAAAGUUAGGAAAAUUUGGGGGAAUUUGAGAGAGAUUUGGGGGCCAGCUGCCAUAGAGGCUGAGAUAUAAGUUCAUAAGUUUUGUUUUACAUUAUAAACAGAACUGUUUUUUGGGGUUUUUUUUGUUUUUUUGGUGUUCCUUGAGAAAUUUGGCAAAGAUUUAAAUUGCUCUCCAGUUAAAUUUUUUUUUUUUUCUAAUUUUGACGCAAGACUGUGCUGAGACUUGCACAUAUGGUACCUGUGUUUUAUACGGGUUACAUUUUCACCCAGUUGCCAUUCAUUCAUUGAGCUUAUGUGCCAUUUGGCUUAUGUGCCACCAUCUGUGCUCAGUGCUGGGUAGACCUGCAGAGGAGUGAGAACCACACCCUGCCCUGGGGGGCUCAGCUUGUCCUGGUCCAGCAGACAAAGAUCCUUGAGUUUGGACAUCGUUCUGUGAGCAGUGGGGGUUUGUCUACAGCGGGGAGACGAAGCUGAGAGAGAGAGCAAGAACUGGUUCUGUGUUCCCUAGGCUGCUGAGCCUUCUGGAUCUCUGAACCCCCAGCCCCAAACUUUGGUGGGCUGUUGGCUAAGGGGAUAAACUGAUUUUUGUUAUCUACUGAGGAUUAAAAAGCUACCUCAUUCAGACAGCUCAAUCAGAUUAAAAAAUGUUUUCUUGGGCGCCUGGGUGGCUCAGAUGGUUAAGCGUCUGCCUUCGG